UGGUGGCGAGCGGCGGACGGGUGAGUAAUGCCUAGGAAUCUGCCUGGUAGUGGGGGAUAACGCUCGGAAACGGACGCUAAUACCGCAUACGUCCUACGGGAGAAAGCAGGGGACCUUCGGGCCUUGCGCUAUCAGAUGAGCCUAGGUCGGAUUAGCUAGUUGGUGAGGUAAUGGCUCACCAAGGCGACGAUCCGUAACUGGUCUGAGAGGAUGAUCAGUCACACUGGAACUGAGACACGGUCCAGACUCCUACGGGAGGCAGCAGUGGGGAAUAUUGGACAAUGGGCGAAAGCCUGAUCCAGCCAUGCCGCGUGUGUGAAGAAGGUCUUCGGAUUGUAAAGCACUUUAAGUUGGGAGGAAGGGCAGUUACCUAAUACGUGAUUGUUUUGACGUUACCGACAGAAUAAGCACCGGCUAACUCUGUGCCAGCAGCCGCGGUAAUACAGAGGGUGCAAGCGUUAAUCGGAAUUACUGGGCGUAAAGCGCGCGUAGGUGGUUUGUUAAGUUGGAUGUGAAAUCCCCGGGCUCAACCUGGGAACUGCAUCCAAAACUGGCAAGCUAGAGUAUGGUAGAGGGUGGUGGAAUUUCCUGUGUAGCGGUGAAAUGCGUAGAUAUAGGAAGGAACACCAGUGGCGAAGGCGACCACCUGGACUGAUACUGACACUG
This 666-nucleotide ribosomal RNA is filed under the name Pseudomonas sp. EECC-405. RNAcentral's name for it is "bacterial SSU rRNA". It matches the Rfam family "Bacterial small subunit ribosomal RNA", at positions 86 to 748 of the family's 1533-position model. Lineage: Bacteria; Pseudomonadati; Pseudomonadota; Gammaproteobacteria; Pseudomonadales; Pseudomonadaceae. The record is from RNAcentral.